Molecule: long non-coding RNA, 458 nt
Filed under: Mustela putorius furo (domestic ferret)
Lineage: Eukaryota; Metazoa; Chordata; Mammalia; Carnivora; Mustelidae
Description: lncRNA (ENSMPUG00000025420.1)
Source: RNAcentral
AUGCAGAAGAUGCUCUCCCUCCCCCUGUCCCUGGGGACACGGAUAGAGCUAGGAGGAACCACAAGACAAGAGUCCUUGGAAGGGUUACCCCAAAAGGGAGUGCAUUUGCCCCAGAAGAGGCUGGCAAGUGACGAGAGAAGGGUCUCUGCCAUCAGGAGGGGAAGAGUUUUCCUAGAACGAUGGACAGAUGAGGGGAUGUUCCAGGCUAGCUGCAGAAACCCCGGAGGACAGAGGGCAGGGUCCCAUGGGGAAGGAUGGGGCCCAGCCCUCCAGGCGUGGUGCCAUCAAGCUGUCCUGCCUUCUCUGUGAUGGUGGCUGCCAUGUCGUGGGAAAGGAGUGUCUCCACUAAUGAGGAUCUGAAGACCCCAGGGCCAAGGGCAGAGAGGAGCAGUGGGUAGGUGAGGAGGCUCGGGGCCCUGUGGGGUGGGAGGGAGGAAGGCAGAGCAGGUGCCCGGAAU